This is a non-coding RNA of Ictidomys tridecemlineatus (thirteen-lined ground squirrel), 72 nucleotides long. The record is from Rfam. NCBI's taxonomy places the organism in Eukaryota, Metazoa, Chordata, Mammalia, Rodentia, Sciuridae.
UGUGUUGUAGCUUAGUGGUAGAGCACUUGCGUAGCAUGUGUGAGGCAUUGGGUUUGAUUCUCAGCACCACAU